RNAcentral lists this ribosomal RNA (610 nucleotides) under uncultured Shigella sp. RNAcentral's name for it is "bacterial SSU rRNA". It matches the Rfam family "Bacterial small subunit ribosomal RNA", at positions 1 to 587 of the family's 1533-position model. The record is from RNAcentral. Lineage: Bacteria; Pseudomonadati; Pseudomonadota; Gammaproteobacteria; Enterobacterales; Enterobacteriaceae.
GCGCGGAUCUUCCAGAGAUUAGAGUUUGAUCCUGGCUCAGAUUGAACGCUGGCGGCAGGCCUAACACAUGCAAGUCGAACGGUAACAGGAAGAAGCUUGCUUCUUUGCUGACGAGUGGCGGACGGGUGAGUAAUGUCUGGGAAACUGCCUGAUGGAGGGGGAUAACUACUGGAAACGGUAGCUAAUACCGCAUAACGUCGCAAGACCAAAGAGGGGGACCUUCGGGCCUCUUGCCAUCGGAUGUGCCCAGAUGGGAUUAGCUAGUAGGUGGGGUAACGGCUCACCUAGGCGACGAUCCCUAGCUGGUCUGGGAGGAUGACCAGCCACACUGGAACUGAGACACGGUCCAGACUCCUACGGGAGGCAGCAGUGGGGAAUAUUGCACAAUGGGCGCAAGCCUGAUGCAGCCAUGCCGCGUGUAUGAAGAAGGCCUUCGGGUUGUAAAGUACUUUCAGCGGGGAGGAAGGGAGUAAAGUUAAUACCUUUGCUCAUUGACGUUACCCGCAGAAGAAGCACCGGCUAACUCCGUGCCAGCAGCCGCGGUAAUACGGAGGGUGCAAGCGUUAAUCGGAAUUACUGGGCGUAAAGCGCACGCAGGCGGUUUGUUAAG